UAUGUUUACGGAUGGUAGAAAGCUCCUCUAUUUUGACAGCCAUGGCAGAUGUCCACCGGAAAUAAAAGAUCAUGUCGACUGGAACAGUGUUCAGGUCCAAGGUAAUUUUAAUAACACAUGUGCGUUACAUUGUAUAUUUGUGGCCAAUAAAUUAGGGGAAGGCAAAUCGUUAAGAGAUAUAUUUCUGGAGCCUGAAUAUUCAUCUGGAAGCUGCGACCAUAUAGAUGAUAAUAUUAUCAAAUACUAUGAAGCCCUUGUUAAAAAGUAUAGACUUUAAAAGGUACUUAGAGCUUGAUGGUAGAAGAAAUAACCUGAUUUUCUUUGGAGCAGAAGAAGAAAGUGACAACAAAGAUAAGUUUAUUGUCUGAAUUUGAUUUCUCCUAUAACAAGCAGAAAAAAAAUGACGAAUUCAAAAAUAUUGCUAGCAAUUACACAUGUUUUGAGAAUCCCAGAACUGAUAUCAUUUUUAGCAAACCUUUCAGGAGGUGUUGUGGUGCUUGUGAAAAAAUCCAUCUGCACAAUGCUUAAUUUAAUAUGAAUUAUUAAGAUAUGCUGAAAAGGUGUUAUAUCAUCAAUGUAUCGGAAGGUAUAGUUUAGACUUUAAGCUACUUUGUGAUCAGUCAGCUUUAAACUGGAUGAUAAAACUUGGGCACAGGUGGCGGUUAUAAUAUUUGUCAUGGCACAUGUCAUAAAAAAAAACUCUUUGGCCAGGCGGUAAGAAAAGGGAAAAGACAAGCCGAAAAAAACAAUAAUAGCUGCCAAUCCUAAAGAAGACAAUGAAAUGAAAGAGAAAGACAGAAAAUAUGAAGGAAGAAAAAAUUGGUACCUCUCCCUACAGUUGGCUUCAACGAUAGUUUCCACUCGCGUGUGUGAACGUUAGAAUAGUUUGUAUUAUAUAUGUGAUCCCAAUACCUGAACAAUAGAAUAGUUUGUAUUAUAUAUGUGAUCCCAAUACCUGAACAAUAGAAUAGUUUGUAUUGUAUAUGAGAUCCCAAUACCUCGCGUGUGUGAACAAUAGAAUAGUUUGUGUAACGGUAGUCGUGCGAUAGACGAAGUGUUCCGAUUGCUAACUUUGUCUACUGGCUGUUUGUCGGCUAAUUUCCUAUUAAAGGGAGAAUUAAUUGAUGUUGUUUGUUGUUUCUCUUUAAUUUUGCCUUUACGUCUUAAGCUUGUAUAAUCUCAUAGUUUAUAUAUUAUUAGUUUGAGUAUUAAAUAUGUAGAUAUUUAUUCAGGGAAUCAAAUUAUGAUUAUAGGCAUUUAGUUAAGUUUAUUAUGUUUACCUAAUAAGCUUCCCUCAAAAUACGUGGUCUUUCGUAGAUCAUCAUGGCAGCCAAAUGCAUGAAAUCGGGAAAGGGGUGAAGUCAAAAAGUUUUCACGUAAUGUUUAGUGAAAUCUUCAGAAUGUACAUGUAAUAUUCAGUGAAAGCUUCAGAAUAUAAUAUUCAGCAUGUAAUCAAGUAUUAUUCAGCAUCGUCAGUAAUGAGUAAUAUUCAGCCAUGGUGUCUUCAGUAUAAUAUGUAGCACGUUGAUUAUAAUCAGAAUUAAAAGAGGAAUUCAUCCGUAUUCGAAUUCUCUCAUUAGGCUAUGUAGGCCCAUGCGUAUGCGACCUGAUUUGUGUAAGCUGAUGUGUGAACUGUUUAUAUUUGUAGCUGUUAUUUAAUAUAUAAAGUUUAUUACAUUGAAGAA
This is a long non-coding RNA of Patella vulgata (common limpet), 1685 nucleotides long. RefSeq lists it as uncharacterized. The record is from RefSeq and is a predicted model, not a curated record. Lineage: Eukaryota; Metazoa; Mollusca; Gastropoda; Patellidae. The transcript is spliced from 3 exons.